UCUCCGUUGGUGAACCAGCGGAGGGAUCAUUACCGAGUUUACACUCCCAAACCCAUGUGAACAUACCUAUCGUUGCUUCGGCGGGACCGCCCCGGUGCCAUGCGCGCCGGAACCAGGCACCCGCCGCAAGAACCUAAACUCUUGUUUUAUUCAGUAUUCUUCUGAGUGGCCGCAAGGCAAUAAAUAAAUUAAAACUUUCAACAACGGAUCUCUUGGCUCUGGCAUCGAUGAAGAACGCAGC
This 241-nucleotide unclassified non-coding RNA is filed under the name uncultured fungus. RNAcentral's name for it is "sequence contains ITS1, 5.8S rRNA gene". The stretch from base 193 to 241 matches the Rfam family "5.8S ribosomal RNA", at positions 1 to 49 of the family's 154-position model. Lineage: Eukaryota; Fungi. The record is from RNAcentral.